RNAcentral lists this ribosomal RNA (576 nucleotides) under Acanthopagrus sp. YI-2011c. RNAcentral's name for it is "partial 16S ribosomal RNA". It matches the Rfam family "Bacterial large subunit ribosomal RNA", at positions 1836 to 2607 of the family's 2925-position model. The record is from RNAcentral. Lineage: Eukaryota; Metazoa; Chordata; Actinopteri; Spariformes; Sparidae.
CGUCUUAUGAUAGAGGUCCCGCCUGCCCUGUGACUAUAUGUUUAACGGCCGCGGUAUUUUGACCGUGCGAAGGUAGCGCAAUCACUUGUCUUUUAAAUGAAGACCCGUAUGAAUGGCACCACGAGGGCUUAGCUGUCUCCCUCUCCCAGUCAAUGAAAUUGAUUUCCCCGUGCAGAAGCGGGGAUAAAAACAUAAGACGAGAAGACCCUAUGGAGCUUAAGACGCCAGGGCAGCUCAUGUUAAACACUCCAGAAUAAAGGAAAAAAACUGAAUGAAGCCCUGCUCUAGUGUCUUUGGUUGGGGCGACCGCGGGGAAAAACUUAACCCCCAUGUGGAAUAGGAAUACUAUUUUCCUAAACCCAAGAGCUCCCGCUCUAAUAAACAGAAUUUCUGACCAUAAAAGAUCCGGCAAUGCCGAUCAACGGACCGAGUUACCCUAGGGAUAACAGCGCAAUCCUCUUAAAGAGUCCCUAUCGACAAGGGGGUUUACGACCUCGAUGUUGGAUCAGGACAUCCUAAUGGUGCAGCCGCUAUUAAGGGUUCGUUUGUUCAACGAUUAAAGUCCUACGUGAUCUG